This 632-nucleotide long non-coding RNA is filed under the name Homo sapiens (human). Its description in RNAcentral is "non-protein coding lnc-MLXIP-12:14". The record is from RNAcentral. Lineage: Eukaryota; Metazoa; Chordata; Mammalia; Primates; Hominidae.
GCAAGUUUUCACUGGGUCUUACCCGACGUGAGCCCCCACUCCUCCAUAUGGACCUGUUUUGGACCAAUGAGGCAUCCUCUUCUGUAGUCCUCAACACGCGGAGCUCCACCACUCCUGAGCAGUGUGACCUCAGGCGUGCUUGCUGCAGAGGCAUCGGGGGUCUCUGGCCAGAGGUGACAUCUGAAGCAAUCGGGAUCCUGUUUGGUUUUGCCACAUCCGACCUGCCGCCCAGCUGGGGCAAGACAGCCACGCGCGGCGGAUGCACCGGCCCUGAACUCUUUCUCGAGUAGUCCCCAGAGAUUUCAGGAAGAGAGAGAAGAGGUAAAGAGACCAGAAACAAAGUCUUCUGCAAGCAAAGAACUGCAACAGGCCCCAGCUGUUAGGUUUGAGGGGCGUAUGGGGCAGGCGACUGAACUGCAGAGUUGGAGCCAGAGGUACCAUUGCUGACCCCUGAGCCCAGGAGCCUUGAGAAUACUGACAGUGUUAAUAAUAACUGCAAUCAUCCAACAUAUGAUGCUAGAAUAACUGGACAUCUGUGUGCAAAAAUAUUAAACCUAUACCUUGCACCUUAUCACAAAAUUCACUCAAAAUAGAUCAUAGACCAAAAUGUGAAACAUAAAACUAAGACUUCC